AGCGAACGUUAGCGGCGUGCUUAACACAUGCAAGUCACGGGGGCCCGCAAGGGCAACCGGCGAACGGGUGCGUAACACGUGAACAACCUGCCCUCGUGUGGGGGAGUAGCCAUGCUAACGCGUGGGUAAUACCGCAUACGUUCCCUUGGAGGAGUCUCUGGGGGAGGAAAGCUCCGGCGCACGGGGAGGGGUUCGCGGCCUAUCAGCUAGUUGGCGGGGUAAUGGCCCACCAAGGCGACGACGGGUANCUGGCUGAGAGGAUGGCCAGCCACAUUGGGACUGAGAGACGGCCCAGACUCCUACGGGAGGCAGCAGGUGGGGAAUCUUGCGCAAUGGCCGAAAGGCUGACGCAGCGACGCCGCGUGUGGGAUGAAGCA
RNAcentral lists this ribosomal RNA (377 nucleotides) under uncultured bacterium. RNAcentral's name for it is "bacterial SSU rRNA". It matches the Rfam family "Bacterial small subunit ribosomal RNA", at positions 30 to 415 of the family's 1533-position model. The record is from RNAcentral.